UCCAGGCAGCCAGCAGGCCCAGGGCUGGUGUGGCCUUGCUGCUUCCUUUGGCAGCUCUCGAGGUCUAGGGGGAGGGGUCCUGGACCAACUGGGGUCUGUCAGGUCAUCCCUGCAGCCACAGCCCACCCCACAGGGACCCCUGCCUUCCAACAGAGAGGACAGCCCUCUUCCUGGAGCUGGGAUCUGACACUGGCUGGUGCCGACAGCAGAUACCAGAGUCAAGUGCAGAGGAAGGUGUGGAGCAACCAGAACUCCUAGAUGCUACUGACCAAAGUGACAGUUGGGGGGCAAGAUCGAGCAAUUUGCCAACAUCUCAUCAAAGUGAAGAUGCCCACUGCCUGAAAUCCAGAAAUUCCACUCCUCCACAUUAUCCUAGAGAAACUCUCACCCACAGAAGAGGAAACUGAGGCCCAGAGGUGGCGAGUGUCUGAGGUCCCUCUGCAAGUCGGGACCAGAGCCAGGACCAGAACUGGGCUCUGGAGGCCAGGCCCCGUCUGGGAAGCUGCCCACUGGAUGUGCUUCUCUGGGCUCUGCCCAGGGAAGGGCCAGCUGCUCUCUCUGUGUCUCAGCACCUCCUCUGCCUUCCUCAUGCCUGUUUGGAUAACUUUUUGACCUGUUCCUUCACAAGCUCUCCCUGAGGUGUGGCUGCCUCCGUUGCUUGUCCCAGGGAAUCCUGGGGCCUUGGCUGUGUGACGGCCCAGGCUUGGCCAGUCCCGUGGCAGACAGUUGUUAAAUAGUGGCUGUCUGGGCAGAGGGAGGACUAUUUACCCAGGGCAGGGCCCAGGCAGAGGCUGCAGCUUCCUCCUCACGUCACCGGCCCAUCCAGCCAUUCAGCAUACUGACUCAGCUGUCCCCUUCUGCAUUUGCUCAUUCCACAAAUAUUUAUGGAGCGCCUACUGUGUGCCAAGCACUGUUCUACAUGCUGAGGAUAUAGCAAGACGGCCAGAUUCCCCACUCUCGCGGAACUGACAUCGUAGUGGAGGAAACAGAUGAUAAACAGAUCAGUGAAUUCACAAUUCCAGAGCUGUAGAGGAUAAAGGGAUUGGUAGUAAUGGCUGGAGGAGAGGCAGUCUUAGAUGGGGUGGUCAAGGAAGGCCGCUCUGAGUGGGGACAUUUGAGCUAAGAACCAAACUAGGAGAAGAAAUCAGUUAUGGGAAGAUCUGGGUAAAGGGUGGUCCUGGCAAAAGGAACCCCAAGUACAAAGGCCCUAGGGCAGGAAUGUGCUUGGCAUGAUUGAAGGACAGUAGAAAGGCCCAAAUGGCUGAAGUGGAGUGAGCAAAAGGGAGAAAGACAGGAGAGGCCAACAGAAGGGCAGACAAGAGUCAGACCCCAGGGGUCCUUUUAGGUCAGGGAAAAGAACUUAGCUUUUCUUUUCAGUGUGACACAAAGCAAUUAGAAGGUAUUCAGCAGGGAUUUUAAAUGCAACUGUAUCUUGAAUUUCUAACUUUAACUCCCCCCUUUCCCUUUAUGGCUUUCUGUCCCAGGACUCUUGUUUUCAAGUACCGUUGAGGGUGUCUGAAGUAGUGUUUAACUAUUCCCUUUUCCUUUUUAAUUUAAAAAUUGUUUCGAAAAUUUUAUGAAAGCUCUAUACGUACACAAUUGAAAAAAUCAAAUACUUCUACAAAGCUGAUAAUAAAUUGCAGUAGGGCUUCCCUGGUGGCGCAGUGGUUGAGAAUCCACCUGCCAAUUCAGGGGACACGGGUUCGAGCCCUGGUCCAGGAAGAUCCCACAUGCCGGGGAGCAACUAAGCCGGUGCGCCACGACUACUGAGCCUGUGCUCUAGAGCCCAUGAGCCAUAACUACUGAGCCUGCGUGCUGCAACUACUGAAGCCCGUGUGCCUAGAGCCUGUGCUCCGCAACAAGAGAAGCCACUGCAAUGAGAAGCCUGUGCACUGCAACGAAGAGUAGCCCCCGCUCACCACAACUAGAGAAAGCCUGCGCGCAGCAACGAAGACCCAAUGCAGCCAAAAUAAAAUAAAUAAGUAAAUAAAUUUAUUUUUUUAAAAAAAAGAGAUAAAAUAAUCAACAAGGACCUACUGUAUAGCACAGGGAACUCUACUCAGUACUCUGUAAUAACCUAAAAUGGAAAAGAAUCUGAAAAAGAAUAGAUGUAUGUAUAUGUAUAACUGAAUCACUUUGCUGUACA
Long non-coding RNA from Eubalaena glacialis (North Atlantic right whale), 2146 nucleotides. RefSeq lists it as uncharacterized. The transcript has 3 exons. Lineage: Eukaryota; Metazoa; Chordata; Mammalia; Artiodactyla; Balaenidae. The record is from RefSeq and is a predicted model, not a curated record.